This 253-nucleotide ribosomal RNA is filed under the name uncultured bacterium. Its description in RNAcentral is "partial 16S ribosomal RNA". It matches the Rfam family "Bacterial small subunit ribosomal RNA", at positions 524 to 776 of the family's 1533-position model. The record is from RNAcentral.
UACAGAGGUCCCGAGCGUUGUUCGGAUUCAUUGGGCGUAAAGGGUGCGUAGGCGGUCUGCCAAGUUUGGUGUGAAAUCCCGGGGCUCAACCCUGGAAUUGCAUUGAAUACUGGUGGACUAGAGUACCGGAGAGGAAACUGGAAUUUACGGUGUAGCAGUGAAAUGCGUAGAGAUCGUAAGGAAGACCAGUGGCGAAGGCGAGUUUCUGGACGGUAACUGACGCUGAGGCACGAAGGCCAGGGGAGCGAACGGG